Molecule: ribosomal RNA, 468 nt
Filed under: uncultured bacterium
Lineage: Bacteria
Description: partial 16S ribosomal RNA
Rfam family: Bacterial small subunit ribosomal RNA
Source: RNAcentral
GACGAACGCUGGCGGCGUGCUUAACACAUGCAAGUCGAACGGAAAGGCCCUGCUUUUGUGGGGUGCUCGAGUGGCGAACGGGUGAGUAACACGUGAGUAACCUGCCCUUGACUUUGGGAUAACUUCAGGAAACUGGGGCUAAUACCGGAUAGGAGCUCCUGCUGCAUGGUGGGGGUUGGAAAGUUUCGGCGGUUGGGGAUGGACUCGCGGCUUAUCAGCUUGUUGGUGGGGUAGUGGCUUACCAAGGCUUUGACGGCUAGCCGGCCUGAGAGGGUGACCGGCCACAUUGGGACUGAGAUACGGCCCAGACUCCUACGGGAGGCAGCAGUGGGGAAUAUUGCACAAUGGGCGGAAGCCUGAUGCAGCAACGCCGCGUGCGGGAUGACGGCCUUCGGGUUGUAAACCGCUUUCGCCUGUGACGAAGCGUGAGUGACGGUGAUGGGUAAAGAAGCACCGGCUAACUACGUG